CAGGAACAUAUGUCUGGCCAAUAUAAGUCACAUUUUGUGAAGAUCCACAUGCAAUCAAAUAGUUAUCAGUAGGAGUAAAAACAGCAUUAGAAUCCUGAGUGAAGAAACUUGACACUACUAAUACUAGAACUAAAGGUAUCAAAUGCAUUAUUCUCAAAUUUACCAUCCUAAGGAGCCAACUAUUAUACACAAUAAACUCCAAUUCUCCUAGAAAAUUUGCAGUCCAAAGGCCACCUAAGUAGUAUUGAGAAUCAACAAUUCUAGCAUUGCAGAUCUUACUUAUCUAUCUAGAGAAAACACAAGAGAAAAAAAUCUUGAAAUAGAAAAAAGCUUUCUUGACUGACAAAACACAAGAAACUACCAAUAAACUAUGGCUACCACCAAAUUCAGAAAAAAUAGUGUCAAGACAAGAACUGAGCUUUUCCACUACCUGUAGCUUUUUUUUCCCUAAAGCUAACAACUUUCCUCAAACUGCAAAUUGGAAAUGCCGGCUUUGGCUUUGGCUUUGGUCCAGUGGUAAGAACACGUGACGUGUGGGUUAGGUGAAUGUCACAGAUUCAACCCCUACUGCGGCAAACAGAGGUAUUUAAGUAGAGAAAGGUAGAGGGAAGUGUCUAUUAUCCACUGAUUUUCGAACCGUACACUAUUACUUGGCGAUUUCUUGAUUAUAUAUUAAAGAAAAAAGAAGACUGCAGAUUGGAAAUGUGUGUAUGAACCAGUAGAAAGAAAGCAACAAAACUUGUUAUUUAGUGUAACUCUGGCAUGAAAACAUUUGCAUUUCUUGAAUUUGUUACAAUGAAAACA
Molecule: long non-coding RNA, 804 nt
Filed under: Nicotiana tabacum (common tobacco)
Lineage: Eukaryota; Viridiplantae; Streptophyta; Magnoliopsida; Solanales; Solanaceae
Description: long non-coding RNA (NTAB_LNC011167)
Source: RNAcentral